UACGUUCCAUAUGAAAGGUAUUCCCAUAGGGGGAAUUCCCACCCGAGUACGUUCCAUAUGAAAGGUAUUCCCAUAGGGGGAAUUCCCACCCGAGUACGUUCCAUAUGAAAGGUAUUCCCAUAGGGGGAAUUCCCACCCGAGUACGUUCCAUAUGAAAGGUAUUCCCAUAGGGGGAAUUCCCACCCGAGUACGUUCCAUAUGAAAGGUAUUCCCAUAGGGGGAAUUCCCACCCGAGUACGUUCCAUAUGAAAGGUAUUCCCAUAGGGGGAAUUCCCACCCGAGUACGUUCCAUAUGAAAGGUAUUCCCAUAGGGGGGAUUCCCACCCGAGUACGUUCCAUAUGAAAGGUAUUCCCACCCGAGUACGUUCCAUAUGAAAGGUAUUCCCACCCGAGUACGUUCCAUAUGAAAGGUAUUCCCAUAGGGGGGAUUCCCACCCGAGUACGUUCCAUAUG
Oncorhynchus keta (chum salmon) is the source of this 453-nucleotide long non-coding RNA. RefSeq lists it as uncharacterized. The transcript has 5 exons. Lineage: Eukaryota; Metazoa; Chordata; Actinopteri; Salmoniformes; Salmonidae. The record is from RefSeq and is a predicted model, not a curated record.